GAUGAAGAACGCAGCAAAAUGCGAUAAGUAAUGUGAAUUGCAGAAUUCAGUGAAUCAUCGAAUCUUUGAACGCACAUUGCGCCCGCUGGUAUUCCGGCGGGCAUGCCUGUUCGAGCGUCAUUUCAACCCUCAAGCCCCCGGGUUUGGUGUUGGGGAUCGGCUCUGCCCUUCUGGGCGGUGCCGCCCCCGAAAUACAUUGGCGGUCUCGCUGCAGCCUCCAUUGCGUAGUAGCUAACACCUCGCAACUGGAACGCGGCGCGGCCAUGCCGUAAAACCCCAACUUCUGAAUGUUGACCUCAGAUCAGGUAGGAAUACCCGCUGAACUUAAGCAUAUCAAUAAGCGGAGGA
RNAcentral lists this unclassified non-coding RNA (348 nucleotides) under soil metagenome. Its description in RNAcentral is "partial contains 5.8S ribosomal RNA, internal transcribed spacer 2, and large subunit ribosomal RNA". The stretch from base 1 to 120 matches the Rfam family "5.8S ribosomal RNA", at positions 35 to 154 of the family's 154-position model. The record is from RNAcentral.